This is a long non-coding RNA of Megalops cyprinoides (Indo-Pacific tarpon), 609 nucleotides long. RefSeq lists it as uncharacterized. The transcript has 3 exons. The record is from RefSeq and is a predicted model, not a curated record. Lineage: Eukaryota; Metazoa; Chordata; Actinopteri; Elopiformes; Megalopidae.
UAGGAACUUGGAAACAGGGAUUAGCUAAAAGGUGCAUCAGAGAGUUCGAAUCCAAACAGAACAUAGACUUGCACGACCGAAUCAAGUGUACGGCGACGGGCAGGGGGUUGAACAAAACGAUCGGACCUCCUGCGGUCGACUGGGACCUUCUCGAAUUUAAAGUCAUUUGCGACAAUGCAACGGUCGCAAUAAAACCCUGCGUUAUUGCUCUUUGUUUUUUAACAGGACGGGCAGACGGGAUAGCUGGAGAGGGAAAGGGAGAGAUAGAAAAAAAUCCGUAACAACAACGACAACAGCAACAACAACAAAAGUCUGUCAACUAGCUUGCAAGCUAGCUAGCUGGCUAGUUAAGUGUUCCUCCGAUUGCAAUACAGAGAAGAAGCAGGAAACUUCGUAAACAGAGCUGUUCCAGUUUGCCCUCAAGCUGAUCCAGUUUACCCCCGUAGUCUUGCCUCAGACAGAGGGGCUGCCAUCCUGUACGCGACGGUCAGAGAGAAGAAUCAAGAGCAAGAGAGAGUGGAGAGAGAAGGGACCAUCGGCUUGCUUUAAGUCCCGUCUUGUCUGUCUGGAAAUCAUGGCCUUUAAAAGGUGGAUUCCAUGGAGGACACA